UGGGGAAUUUUGGACAAUGGGCGCAAGCCUGAUCCAGCCAUGCCGCGUGCGGGAAGAAGGCCUUCGGGUUGUAAACCGCUUUCGUCAGGGAAGAAAUCUUCUGAGUUAAUACCUCGGGAGGAUGACGGUACCUGAAGAAUAAGCACCGGCUAACUACGUGCCAGCAGCCGCGGUAAUACGUAGGGUGCAAGCGUUAAUCGGAAUUACUGGGCGUAAAGCGUGCGCAGGCGGUUUUGUAAGACAGAGGUGAAAUCCCCGGGCUCAACCUGGGAACUGCCUUUGUGACUGCAAGGCUUGAGUGCGGCAGAGGGGGGAUGGAAUUCCGCGUGUAGCAGUGAAAUGCGUAGAUAUGCGGAGGAACACCGAUGGCGAAGGCAAUCCCCUGGGCCUGCACUGACGCUCAUGCACGAAAGCGUGGGGAGCAAACAGGAUUAGAUACCCUGGUAGUCCACGCCCUAAACGAUGUCAACUGGUUGUUGGGAAGGUUCCUUCUCAGUAACGUAGCUAACGCGUGAAGUUGACCGCCUGGGGAGUACGGCCGCAAGGUUGAAACUUAAAGGAAUUGACGGGGU
RNAcentral lists this ribosomal RNA (572 nucleotides) under uncultured bacterium. RNAcentral's name for it is "partial 16S ribosomal RNA". It matches the Rfam family "Bacterial small subunit ribosomal RNA", at positions 355 to 919 of the family's 1533-position model. The record is from RNAcentral.